RNAcentral lists this ribosomal RNA (465 nucleotides) under Vreelandella stevensii. Its description in RNAcentral is "partial 16S ribosomal RNA". It matches the Rfam family "Bacterial small subunit ribosomal RNA", at positions 338 to 795 of the family's 1533-position model. Lineage: Bacteria; Pseudomonadati; Pseudomonadota; Gammaproteobacteria; Oceanospirillales; Halomonadaceae. The record is from RNAcentral.
CCUACGGGAGGCAGUAGUGGGGAAUAUUGGACAAUGGGGGGAACCCUGAUCCAGCCAUGCCGCGUGUGUGAAGAAGGCCCUCGGGUUGUAAAGCACUUUCAGUGAGGAAGAACGCCUGGUGGUUAAUACCCAUCAGGAAAGACAUCACUCACAGAAGAAGCACCGGCUAACUCCGUGCCAGCAGCCGCGGUAAUACGGAGGGUGCGAGCGUUAAUCGGAAUUACUGGGCGUAAAGCGCGCGUAGGUGGCUUGAUAAGCCGGUUGUGAAAGCCCCGGGCUCAACCUGGGAACGGCAUCCGGAACUGUCAAGCUAGAGUGCAGGAGAGGAAGGUAGAAUUCCCGGUGUAGCGGUGAAAUGCGUAGAGAUCGGGAGGAAUACCAGUGGCGAAGGCGGCCUUCUGGACUGACACUGACACUGAGGUGCGAAAGCGUGGGUAGCAAACAGGAUUAGAUACCCCUGUAGUC